AGCAAUGGCCAUGCCAUCCUGAACGUGCCUGAUCUUGGAAGCUAAGCAGGGUCGUGCCAGGUUAAUACUUGGAUGGGAGACCACCUUGGAAUACGAGGUGCUAUAGGUG
RNAcentral lists this ribosomal RNA (109 nucleotides) under Pteropus alecto (black flying fox). Lineage: Eukaryota; Metazoa; Chordata; Mammalia; Chiroptera; Pteropodidae. The record is from RNAcentral.